Molecule: non-coding RNA, 102 nt
Organism: Pseudonaja textilis
Lineage: Eukaryota; Metazoa; Chordata; Lepidosauria; Squamata; Elapidae
Source: RefSeq, a predicted model, not a curated record
UAUUUCCCUGAAAAUAAGCCCUAAUGCAUCUUUUGGAGCAAAAAUUAAUAUAAGAACCAGUCUUCUUUUUGGGGGAACACGGGAUAGAGUCUUAUAGGGGCU